RNAcentral lists this ribosomal RNA (497 nucleotides) under uncultured bacterium. RNAcentral describes it as "partial 16S ribosomal RNA". It matches the Rfam family "Bacterial small subunit ribosomal RNA", at positions 28 to 507 of the family's 1533-position model. The record is from RNAcentral.
GAUGAACGCUGGCGGCGUGCCUAAUACAUGCAAGUCGAGCGAACGGACGAGAAGCGCGGGUCUCUGGUGUUAGCGGCGGACGGGUGAGUAACACGUGGAUAGCCUAGCUAUAAGACUGGGGUAACGUCGGGAAACCGGAGCUAAUACCGGAUAAUAUUUUGAACGGGAUGGUUCAAAAGUUAAAGACGGUCUGGCUGUCACUUCUAGAUGGAUCCGCGCUGCAUUAGUUAGUUGGUAAGGUAACGGCUUACGAAGGCAACGAUGCAUAGCCGACCUGAGAGGCGGAUCGGCCACCCUGGAGCGGGGACACGGUCCAGACUACUGAGAGACGCAGCAGUAGGGAACGUUACGCAGUGGGCGAAAGCAUGACGGAGCGGCGGCGAGUGAGUGGCGAAGGCCUUCGGUGCGUAAAACUCUGUUACUAGGGAUGAACAUAUGUGUAAGGAACUGAGCACAUCUUGACGGUACCUAAUCAGAGAACCACGGCUUACUUCGUG